AUGAACGCUAGCGAUAGGCUUAACACAUGCAAGUCGCGGGGCAGCAUGGUCUUAGCUUGCUAAGACUGAUGGCGACCGGCGCACGGGUGCGUAACGCGUAUGCAACUUGCCUCACAGAGGGGGAUAACCCGUCGAAAGACGGACUAAUACCGCGUACACUCCAUCUUGGGCAUCCAAGGUAGAGGAAAUGAAAUUCGCUGUGAGAUAGGCAUGCGUCCCAUUAGCUAGUUGGUGAGGUAACGGCUCACCAAGGCGACGAUGGGUAGGGGAACUGAGAGGUUGAACCCCCACACUGGUACUGAGACACGGACCAGACUCCUACGGGAGGCAGCAGUGAGGAAUAUGGGGCAAUGGGCGAGAGCCUGAACCAGCCAAGUCGCGUGAAGGAUGACUGUCUUAUGGAUUGUAAACUUCUUUUAUACGGGAAUAACAAGAGUCACGUGUGACUCCCUGCAUGUACCGUAUGAAUAAGCAGCGGCUAACUCCGUG
RNAcentral lists this ribosomal RNA (489 nucleotides) under uncultured bacterium. RNAcentral describes it as "partial 16S ribosomal RNA". It matches the Rfam family "Bacterial small subunit ribosomal RNA", at positions 29 to 507 of the family's 1533-position model. The record is from RNAcentral.